AGUUAAACAGUACGUGAAAUUGUUGAAAGGGAAACGAUUGAAGUCAGUCGUGCUGGCGCGAAAUCAACCCUCUCGUUGAGAGGUCACAUGGCGUGGCGAGCCUCAAAACCGUCACGAAGCGUGAACUCUUGGCGAAAAGGAGCACUUUCGUGUCCGCUGGUUAACAUCAAUUUCGAACGUCAUAAAAAGGCUGGAGGGAUGUGGCUCCUUCGGGAGUGUUAUAACCUUUAGCGGAAUGUGGUGGUCGGGAUUGAGGAUUGCAACGAAUACCUUUAGGGCUGUUCCACCUGGCCUCUCUUUGGUAUCCUGGUGACGACAGCUUGCUGACGUUGUUAGGACUCGCCUUUGAACAGGCUAGAGUGUGAGCAAAUUCGUUAAGGAUGUUAACGUAAUGGCUUUAAA
RNAcentral lists this unclassified non-coding RNA (402 nucleotides) under uncultured Entrophospora. RNAcentral describes it as "uncultured Claroideoglomus sequence contains 28S rRNA gene". Lineage: Eukaryota; Fungi; Glomeromycota; Glomeromycetes; Entrophosporales; Entrophosporaceae. The record is from RNAcentral.